CAGAGUACGUGAAACCGCUUAGAGGUAAACGGGUGGAUCCGCAAAGUCGGCCCGGGGAAUUCAACUUGCCGUUUGGGCUGCGGGCGUUGGGUCAGGGAUCCGUAAAGACCCGCCUGGCGUUCGGCAGUCGUCGGCGAGUGCACUUUCCUCGGGUAGAGCGCCACGACCGGUUUCGGAGCGGUCAUAAGCCGGCUGGGAAGGUGACUUCCUCCUCGGAGGAAGUGUUAUAGCCCGGCCAGGUCGGCUCGUUCCGAGACCGAGGAUUUGCCGCGUCUCACUGCCCCUGGCUCUCUGGGUGCGUUCGACUGGGGAAGCACUGCUUGCAGUUCUCUCCGACUGCGUGCCUUGAUUGGUCGGGAAGCACGAGGCGCUUCGGGUCAGUGGCGAAUCGGUCGGUCCUCCACCCGACCCGUCUUGAAACACGGACCAAGGAGUCUAACAUGUGCGCAAGUCAUGGGGUUCUGUACGAAACCUAAAGGCGCAAUGAAAGUGAAGGUCAACCUCCGGUAGGCCUAGGUAGGAUCCCCGCGAGGGGCGCACUACCGGCCCGUCUCGACCACAUCGUUGGUGGGGCGGAGCAAGAGCGUACACGUUGGGACCCGAAAGAUGGUGAACUAUGCCUGAGUAGGACGAAGCCAGAGGAAACUCUGGUGGAGGUCCGUAGCGAUUCUGACGUGCAAAUCGAUCGUCAAACUUGGGUAUAGGGGCGAAAGACUAAUCGAACCAUCUAGUAGCUGGUUCCCUCCGAAGUUUCCCU
Molecule: ribosomal RNA, 757 nt
Filed under: Brachidontes darwinianus
Lineage: Eukaryota; Metazoa; Mollusca; Bivalvia; Mytilida; Mytilidae
Description: eukaryotic LSU rRNA
Rfam family: Eukaryotic large subunit ribosomal RNA
Source: RNAcentral